AGGCCGCCUGCAAAACUCUCUCCUCUGAUUGGCCAGGAGAGGAGCACCCUUUUGCGAAAGUAUUGGUUACCCCGUGGGAUAAGACCUCCCCUCACCUACAUGUAAACGGGCCGUUUACGUUUGAAUGUGUGUUCGUGUGACUGCGAUUCCAGCCAGCUGGCGCGGAGGGAGUGAGCCCUGACCUGGAGCGGGCAGGGCAGGAGGCGGCCCAGCCGUUACCGAAGGCGCCCCCCCUCACCCAGGGAUGUUUUACUAGGAAAGGCCCACGCUGCCUAGAGCACGUGGGGCCAGCCCAGGGAGGCCUGAGCUGAUCUCCCGGCGUGGGAUUUGAGCCUGUUGUGCCAGGGAACAUGUAGUACCACUAACACUGCCUGCCCCUCCCUAGCAGCUGUGACAGACAGCACGGAGCCGGCCUGGCAGCUACUGAGGAAAAUAGAAAAGAGCAAAAACCUCGAGCAAGCCCAGUGAAAAAGUAUGAAGAAUUUGAACUAGAUUGAUGUCAGACUAACCUGCCUCUGAUUACUUUGGUCAUCUGUUUAAACUUUUGACUACUAGCACAACAGUAGCACUUUUCCAGUCUCCUGCAAUAUCUCUGCUAUUCCAAGAUUAAAAAUAAUCAGCAAGCCUUGAAGUUCUUUGCCAACACUUAUGACCGUUGCAUGCAAAUUAUUCAGGCCUACUGACAACUUCUGAUUUGACAAAACGCAAAGAAGGUACCAAUGUGAGAUUUCUAAAGAUAGCUACAGCACUCAACCCAAGGUUAAGAAUCUGAAGUGUCUUCCAAAAUCUGAGAGGGAUGAGGUGUGGAGCUUGCUUUCAGAAGUCUUCAAAGAGCAACACUCCAAUGCAGAAACUACGGAACCCAGACCACCAAAAAAGAAAAUCAACCUUCUGCUGGUGGCAUCUGA
Molecule: non-coding RNA, 908 nt
Organism: Caretta caretta (loggerhead turtle)
Lineage: Eukaryota; Metazoa; Chordata; Testudines; Cheloniidae
Source: RefSeq, a predicted model, not a curated record